AAAUUUGUAAUCUGGCGUCUUUCAGGCGUCCGAGUUGUAAUCUAUAGAAGUGUUUUCCGUGCUGGACCAUGUCCAAGUCCCUUGGAACAGGGUAUCAAAGAGGGUGACAAUCCCGUACUUGAUAUGGCCACCAGUGCUCUGUGAUACACUUUCUACGAGUCGAGUUGUUUGGGAAUGCAGCUCAAAAUGGGUGGUAAAUUCCAUCUAAAGCUAAAUAUUGGCGAGAGACCGAUAGCGAACAAGUACCGUGAGGGAAAGAUGAAAAGCACUUUGGAAAGAGAGUUAAACAGUACGUGAAAUUGUUGAAAGGGAAACGAUUGAAGUCAGUCGUGUUCAUUGGACUCAGCCGGUUCUUCCGGUCUAUUUCCUUUGAACGGGUCAACAUCAGUUUUGUCCGGUGGAUAAAGGCAGAGAGAAAGUGGCUCCCUCGGGAGUGUUAUAGCUUUUUGUCACAUACACUGGAGGAGACUGAGGACUGCAGCUCGCCUUUUGGCCGGGGUUCGCCCACGUUCGAGCUUAGGAUGUUGACAUAAUGGCUUUAAACGACCCGUCUUG
RNAcentral lists this ribosomal RNA (555 nucleotides) under Vanrija albida. Its description in RNAcentral is "eukaryotic LSU rRNA". It matches the Rfam family "Eukaryotic large subunit ribosomal RNA", at positions 111 to 656 of the family's 3401-position model. Lineage: Eukaryota; Fungi; Basidiomycota; Tremellomycetes; Trichosporonales; Trichosporonaceae. The record is from RNAcentral.